GUGGGGAAUAUUGGACAAUGGGCGAAAGCCUGAUCCAGCCAUGCCGCGUGUGUGAAGAAGGUCUUCGGAUUGUAAAGCACUUUAAGUUGGGAGGAAGGGCAGUAAGUUAAUACCUUGCUGUUUUGACGUUACCGACAGAAUAAGCACCGGCUAACUUCGUGCCAGCAGCCGCGGUAAUACGAAGGGUGCAAGCGUUAAUCGGAAUUACUGGGCGUAAAGCGCGCGUAGGUGGUUUUGUAAGUUGGAGGUGAAAUCCCCGGGCUCAACCUGGGAACUGCCUCCAAAACUACUGGGCUAGAGUACGGUAGAGGGUAGUGGAAUUUCCUGUGUAGCGGUGAAAUGCGUAGAUAUAGGAAGGAACACCAGUGGCGAAGGCGACUACCUGGACUGAUACUGACACUGAGGUGCGAAAGCGUGGGGAGCAAACAGGAUUAGAUACCCGAGUAGUCC
RNAcentral lists this ribosomal RNA (450 nucleotides) under uncultured bacterium. Its description in RNAcentral is "partial 16S ribosomal RNA". It matches the Rfam family "Bacterial small subunit ribosomal RNA", at positions 354 to 796 of the family's 1533-position model. The record is from RNAcentral.